UACGAACGCGGGUGGCAAGCUUAACACGUGCAAGUCGAACGGAUUAUUCUUUAUAGCUUGCUAUGGAGGAUAAUUAGUGGCAGACGGGUGAGUAAUGCAUAGGAAUCUACCUAGUAGUAUGGGAUAGCCACUAGAAAUGGUGGGUAAUACUGUAUAAUCCCUGUGGGGGAAAGAUUUAUCGCUAUUAGAUGAGCCUAUGUUAGAUUAGCUAGUUGGUAGGGUAAAGGCCUACCAAGGCGAUGAUCUAUAGCUGGUCUGAGAGGAUGAUCAGCCACACUGGAACUGAGAUACGGUCCAGACUCCUACGGGAGGCAGCAGUGGGGAAUAUUGGACAAUGGGCGCAAGCCUGAUCCAGCUAUGCCGCGUGAGUGAGGAAGGCCUUAUGGUUGUAAAACUCUUUCACUAUGGAAUAUAAUGACUGUACCUAC
RNAcentral lists this ribosomal RNA (428 nucleotides) under Anaplasma phagocytophilum. RNAcentral's name for it is "bacterial SSU rRNA". It matches the Rfam family "Bacterial small subunit ribosomal RNA", at positions 29 to 464 of the family's 1533-position model. Lineage: Bacteria; Pseudomonadati; Pseudomonadota; Alphaproteobacteria; Rickettsiales; Anaplasmataceae. The record is from RNAcentral.